GGAAUAUUGGUCAAUGGGCGGGAGCCUGAACCAGCCAAGUCGCGUGAGGGAUGACGGCCCUAUGGGUUAUAAACCUCUUUUGCCGGGGAGCAAAGUGCCGCACGUGGGCGGUUUGGAGAGUACCCGGAGAAAAAGCAUCGGCUAACGCCGUGCCAGCAGCCGCGGUAAUACGGAGGAUGCUAGCGUUAAUCGGAUUUAUUGGGUUUAAAGGGUGCGUAGGCGGACGCUUAAGUCAGCGGUAAAAUUGCGGGGCUCAGCCUCGUCGAGCCGUUGAAACUGGGUGUCUUGAGUGGGCGAGAAGUACGCGGAAUGCGUGGUGUAGCGGUGAAAUGCAUAGAUAUCACGCAGAACUCCGAUUGCGAAGGCAGCGUACCGGCGCCCAACUGACGCUGAAGCACGAAGGCGUGGGUAUCGAA
This 416-nucleotide ribosomal RNA is filed under the name uncultured bacterium. RNAcentral describes it as "bacterial SSU rRNA". It matches the Rfam family "Bacterial small subunit ribosomal RNA", at positions 358 to 772 of the family's 1533-position model. The record is from RNAcentral.